This is a long non-coding RNA of Pelodiscus sinensis (Chinese soft-shelled turtle), 1640 nucleotides long. RefSeq lists it as uncharacterized. NCBI's taxonomy places the organism in Eukaryota, Metazoa, Chordata, Testudines, Trionychidae. The record is from RefSeq and is a predicted model, not a curated record.
AACUUUUCCGUUAAGUAUUUCUGCAAAAUCAUGCCAGUCUAGACGUAGCCAAAGAUUGUGAGGCACUCAGAUAUCAUGGAUACCAUGAGCACGAUAGCACUAGACUAAUUUUAAAUUCUCGUAAAAGAUUGCUUAGUUUUCAAUGGCACAUGAUGUAAAAUCACAGCGUUAGUCAAGCUUGUUUAUUUUUUGAAUGUAGAAGGCUAAAUGUUAAUUACUAAUUACAUUUCAAAGAAGUUGCACAGUAGAAUAUCCUUAACUUCAAUAUGAUUUGACCAAUUGCUUUCAUCUUUUAGAGAUUCCAGUCUAUUCCAAGCAAAUCCCAACAUACUUACUCCGUACAGAGGGAUAGGAAUUUCUGGGCACAAGAUAAACUAGGUAGCUGCUGCAGAAUGCACGAAGCCCUUAGUUCCUGGAAAACUUCAUCUAACACAGAAUGCUGCAGCACAACUCAGCAUCACUGGCACCUAAUCAGGUCAGAUCUGUUGAUCCUUAUUAUGCUGCUUCCCGCAAAACAUGGCCCAAAUUCAAGGACUUGGCUUUUGUGUUUAAGGUGUUCAAUGGCCUGGCACCAGGGCAUGCAAAAGAUCAACUACAGUUCCAGGAUGAAGAUGUGGUUGACAACGUCUCUCCUCUGGACCCGAUGGAACUUUCCCCAAUAAGGCCAAUCCUCCCCCUAAGGAUGGACAUGUUGGAUGAGAAGAAAGAAGGCAUGUGUUGGGACAGGCAACUGAAGAAUCCUGGGAGUCUCCCAUAUAAAACAAGAUUCUAAUAAUUCCUCCCUAAGUCAGCUGCCAACCUCUGUUCAAGAUGACACCAACUUUUCUCCGUAUAUAUUGGCCAUUAACCCCAUCUCCAGUCAUUACCCACACAUAAAGUGACUUGCUCAAUCAACUAGAUGUUUUAGAGUUUUGUCUGUUCGAUCAAGAACUCCUCCUAAAUGGUAAGAACUAGGACCAUCCCAUUUGGUAUACAGCUGCCUCUGAUCAUCACUUAAAACAGUGUAAAGGUUGGUUGUGCCACAAAAAUGGAAUGUGUCUGGAAUUGGAUUUCUUCACAGAGCAGAAUCACCAAAUCAAGUACAGACCUCAAAACUGACAUAACUAAGCGAAUGUUAAAAGAGACUGAAUCAAGAUGAGCCAGAAAAAUAGUAUGAACCUGCAAUAGGAUUGCUUCUCAAUACACAUUGCAGAAAAGAGAAAAAGGGGAAAUGUGGAUCGUUCGUACUGUGUUUUGGCACAGCUAAAUCAGUUUAUGGUUUGAAAAAUAUAAGAAUGUUACUAGAGACCACAUUGACUAUAGCCCGUUGUUAGAACACAGUGAAUGAUAGGGAUGAAGAAAAGAUACACUAGAUGGAAUUCCCAUUUAAAAAAAAAAAAAAAAAUCGACAAACAUUAAAUGGACCACUUUUAACGCAGCCUUCAUAUUUAACAAGGCUAUACCUUUCUCACCACGCUGUUCUUGAAAGCAGAUGAUACAGUGCACAUAAAAAUUCUAUUUUCAAUUACUAAUACCUUAACUAUGAAGAUUGCCUCAGUUAGCUAGCUCUCGGUUUCAUUCAGAUUUUGCAUGUGACCUGUUUUAAAUGUAAUUUGUUUGCUUUCAUGAGAUUAACUUUACAUAAAUUGGUGCAUAAUUUC